Molecule: long non-coding RNA, 2562 nt
Filed under: Gallus gallus (chicken)
Lineage: Eukaryota; Metazoa; Chordata; Aves; Galliformes; Phasianidae
Description: lncRNA (ENSGALG00010026257.1)
Source: RNAcentral
GAACAAGCAAGGCAAUGGCAGAUGAAAUUAAAUGUUGACAAAUGCAAGUUAAUGUGCAUUGGAAGGCAUAAUGUGACCUACUCAUACACAUUGCUGCAUUUUAAAUUAACUGUAACCACUCAGGGAAAAGACCUAGAGGUUAUUGUGAACAGCUCAAUAAAAACAUCUGUUAAAUGAACAGAAGCAGUCAGAAAAGCAAACAAAACAUUGGGCCGUACAAGGGAGAUUUUAUAUUAUCAUUUAUAUUAUGAUAAUACAUCAGGACACUGAAAACUGCUUUCUGUUGUGCCAGGCUCUGUGUGAGCAGAGAGUGAAAAGGCAUCCGAGUGUGACCAGACACCAAUGGAUAAGGAGAUUCCUGGAGCAGAGGUUUGCCUUCAAGCAAGGAGAACUGUGUGAUGUGCAAGACUUCUGGCUCUGCAAGCAGCUCAACAAGGAGCUGGGCUGACAGACGGAGCAAGGACGACGUCCUGAGCUUUGGCUUGGCUGCUGUAUGGGGAAUAAUUCUUGUGGGCCCCUUUCUGCUUGUGUGAGCGUUUUCGGAGCAUCUUCAGAAGCACCAGCCCUCUCCUCUGUCGUAUUAUUUUUGUUUGUAAAUCCUGGCUGAAGAAGGAUCUCGGCUCAAACAUAAAGCUCCAUCUGACCUGAGCAGCACGGGGCAAAUCUGGGAUCAAGCCUGUGAAGAAAACGGGUUUAUUAGCCUUAUAAAUUGAAUCUGGAGUUCUUGGUGCAAAUAACCUAGUACCCUCCCAAGUGAUUCUGCUUUAAUGAGAAUUGUCAAAGCUGCAGGUCUGACAGAUGUGAUAAAGAUUGGACAACACUAGGGGUGGACAGCCAGGUUCCAGUGUGCUUCUGCCCAGCCUAGAAGAGCUCCCUCAGCAACACCACGGCUUCUCUCCCUACGGAUGGAGGGAAGUUCCCAACAUAUUCUCACAUUCCUCCAGUUAAAAACUUCCCACCCACAGACAUCCCAGAGCAUCCCUUUGGAGAACGAAACACAAAGGGAAUCCAAGAUGAUGCUUGGCUUCCUGCUGCUGAGACAAAUAGUGAGGCUGUUAAACUCUACCAUUGUCCCACGUCCUUUAGAGUGGAAAGAGUUUGUACUCCUUGCUCUAAGAUUUACGCAGCAGUGCUCUCCAACGCCAGGCAGCUGGGAAGUCCCCAUGUGAAACCUCUCCACAAGCUGAUGGGAAGCAGCAAGACCCACACUGCCUUCAUCAUUGUCAUCCCCAUCAAUGGAGCCAACGGGUCAGAAAACUCCCAUCCGUUACACCUAUGGCAUGCCAUCAGCUCGCAGGUGAUGAGGAAAAGCAGAUGCAGUUUUUGGUGAGCCAGUUGUUCUCCCGUUUUGCACAUCCCAAAAUGAGCUUCAAGAUUCCAAGCAUGCUUCACGCUGUAGGGUUCUGUCCACAGGGUCUGGGCUGGAUGUGACCUUAGGAGUGAAUGCAGUGUGGGGAACAGAAAAAUUCAGCAAAAAAAGAGCAAAUGUGUUAACGGAGGGCAAAAAAAAAACACACAUCAUGUAGUUCCCUCUAUUCUUAGUUUUAUGCAUUCGGCCAGUUCUGGAGUGACUGAAAACCUGAGAAUUUGAAAGGAAUGUUGUGAUUUCAGCCGAGUUCAAUAUUCUCUUCAAUAUUUUGAAAAGUGGAAGUCUUAGGCAGCUGAACAGAACUUUGCCCAUUGACAAUUCCUGCUUAGAGAAUAAACUUAGAAUAAAUAAAGGCAUCAUAGUGGGAAUUGGCUGGAGUAAACCAUUCUGUGCUGCAGUAAAAUUCAAUUCUAGGUGGUUUCAGUUGCGAUCUCCAAUACAAACCCUGAAUGUUGCUGUCCUGCAAACGCUUCUUUAUUGGAAAGCAGUCCCAGUGUCCCAGAAAACCCCCAAAGGCCUUCCUUUGCCAUAUGCCUGCACUCAGCUGCAAGUUGUUCAUGCUGCGCUCAUGACGGUGGGCAUCCACCUCACUUCAGCCUUUCAGACCCGAAGUAUCAAGCCUAAACCUACUGCCACGGUUCCCUUGUUUUUCAGAGGGAGGUUGGUACUGCAGCCUCCUACAGCUCUGCAGGCAGGGUGCUUGCUUCCAGCUGACCACGCUCAGGGAGAUGUACUAGGCUACUCGGUGAUUCCUAUUCCUCCUCCUGUUACGUUUUUCUUCCCUACCUGCCUUAACAACACUCUGUUUACGCUAUCUCAGGCCAAGGAUCAAAGUGCUAUUCCCCUCUGCCAAGAGCGAUUUAGCAGUGCCUUCCUUGGACUUGCUUUGUUAUAACUUUUGCAUUGCCCGGGUGCUGAGUUAUUCAUUAUGCGCAGGCUGCAGAGACAAUUGUAUGCGUUCCUCUUCCUGUCUGUGCAAUAUUUUGACAUUUCCCUGUGUCUAUUGGAAUUCAGUCCUGUCUUUAAAUAAAUAUCUUGCUUUCCCAUGGGAAGAGCUCCAGGAGCUCCUACCUCAGUGCUGCUUCCCAGCUGUCUGAGUUUUCCUCGUCUGCAUCUCGGGUGAUGGAAAUGUGGAGGAGUUGGGGUAUUUUGUUUGGGGUUGGGGACUUUUUUGAGGUUAAAAAGAGCAACAC